GGCCCCAUCGUCUAGCGGUUAGGACGCCGGCCUCUCACGCCGGAAACAGGGGUUCGAUUCCCCUUGGGGCUACCA
RNAcentral lists this transfer RNA (75 nucleotides) under Nitrospinota bacterium. Its description in RNAcentral is "tRNA-Glu". It matches the Rfam family "tRNA". Rfam says of the family: Transfer RNA (tRNA) molecules are approximately 80 nucleotides in length. Their secondary structure includes four short double-helical elements and three loops (D, anti-codon, and T loops). The record is from RNAcentral. Lineage: Bacteria; Pseudomonadati; Nitrospinota.